This 2184-nucleotide long non-coding RNA is filed under the name Malus domestica (apple). RNAcentral's name for it is "long non-coding RNA (MDOM_LNC015651)". Lineage: Eukaryota; Viridiplantae; Streptophyta; Magnoliopsida; Rosales; Rosaceae. The record is from RNAcentral.
UUUGUCUUGUUAAAAUGGUUUUAAAGUGACUUUUGGAACCCCUAAGUACCCUAGGAUGUUAGCCCUCUUUUGAGUAGUGAAAAUUUGAGUUUUGGUGAGUGAAAACAUUCAUGGAGCUAUUAUGAGUUUUCAUGAGUGUUCUUCAAUGUUCUUGAAGUUCUUGCCAAGAACAAAAAGUUUUGAAGUUUCGAUUCAAAAAUUUUAUGUUUUUCAUAAAGUUAUGGUUUAAUUUUGAUGGGUGAUGGUUAUUGGUGAAGCAUUAUUAUUGGCUUUAAUGUUUGACAAAGUUUUAAUGUUUGACAUAAAUUUUUCUUACAACCUAUCUAUAUCACCUUUAUAUCUCACCUAAUAAAAUCAACUUGCAAAAACUUUUUAGAUUUUUUUUCACUUGUUCACUCAAAAACCGGCCACCCCCUAGUGGGGGUACUUUUGGGGCAUUUUGUGCAAUUACAUAAAGUUUUGAUACUUUUGUGUUUUUGUAUUUUGGCACAAAAGUUUACGUUUUUACGUUUAGGCCCAAAAACUCUAAAGGACAAAUUGUUUUGCUCCUUUAAUGAUGUUUUUACAUUAUUAAAAUUUUGGGUUCUAGUUGAAAUUACAUAAAGUUGUGGACUUUUGUGUUUUUUCAAAGUGACCCCAAAAGUUUAUGUUUUUGCAUUGUGGCCCAAUUGUUGUGGUCAUUGUUUUAUUUUGGCCCAAAUAAGAUGAGAACAAAAUGGUUUUGUCUCUUUAAAUAAGAAUUGGAUUUUCAUUUUAUUUAGUUCCAUUUAAAUCAAUUCUAUGGAUCCGAAAACCAAUUGUUUAAGUUGCUUUCUUAGUUAAUGUGAUUGAUUAAGAAAAGGGUGAUUAUGAACCAAAGGUCUCGAUAAUUGAGCUAUGUGAUUAGCCGCUUUACAUUAUGAAUGUUUGGGUUUGGUAGUGUAGAUUUGAAUGUAAUUUGAUUAAUUUAAUUUGUUGUAAAGGGCAUAAGUCCUCCAAUGUGUUGUAAAAGGGCAUAAGCCCUUCUCUUUAUUUCAAGUAUUCAUUUUUUGUUUAAUUGUAUGCAAAUUGGAAUAGUUGGGUCCAACGCCCAAUAGGAAAUAACGGUUUAAUUGGAUUAAACGCGUAACUAAAAUCAACAACUAUCUACCUUAAACCCAAGGUCCAACACAAGGCUCGUGUUGGAUCAAAUCAAACGGUUCAUAAUCAUCCUAAAACCUAAUAUGAUUAUAUAGUCCAUAUGAGGAUGCAAAGCGUUCGUUAGUAGUUCCAUAUAGUCUCGCUUGUUUCAACGAAACAGUGGGAGUAUUAUAUGCUACUAAUACAUAUUAACUUGGACCAAUAGUUGUGAUAGGCCCAAGUUCUUUUAAUAAGAUUAAAAUGAUUUUGAUGUAGCCCAAAACUACUCCCUCAACAAACGAAAAUUAAGUUGAUAAGCGAGAGAUGUUUUGAACAUCUCUUCGUAGGCCUUCCACCGUGGUGGGCUCCAAUCGUUUGUGACUCAUGCACCCGCUUCACCCUAUCAUGGGGGAGUUCAAAGUAUGUGCUUACAUCCAGGAGGAGUCCAUAAACAUAUGAUGAGGUGAGUGUAGGCAACGAGGAUGGCCGACAUCGUAUCAUCGUGAGGCUAUUCUUGAACCCUUUCACAAACUAAGCAUGGUGGGAAUAACUUAACUAAGUGCAAUGGAGCUGACAUCGUAUCAUCGUGAGGCAACAUUCUCUAGAGGCCAAACGGAUGGGUAAUUACAAAAGUUGUAAAUGAAUAAAGCGUUAUUCUCUCAUCAUUAUUUUUGCUAACCAACAUUGUAUCAUUGUGAGGUGGGCUUGGUAAUGGUGAGUCUCCCAUACCCCGCUUAGAGUUCAAUAUAACUCUCGAAUUCCAUUGAGGGAUGUGGAAUUUGCCAAAAAUAGUGGGUGGUACUAUUUGAUUUAAGACCCAAUCAAGUAGUUUUGAAACAAACAAUCUAAUACGAUUUCUGUUAUGUUAUGUAGUUAACGACAUGCCUAAAAUAAUACCCACCAUUAUACUUGACAAAAGGGGCCUUAAGGGCCAACGUUUCCUUGCUUGGUAUCGCCACAUUGAGAAUGUCUUAAAGGUGAAAGACGUAUUGUAUGUGCUUAAGCAAUCCCCUCCUCAUGUACCUCCUACGAAACUGGCUUCAAAUGAGGAGUGUCAAAAUUAUGUUAGACACUAUGAGGAUGACU